This 28-nucleotide non-coding RNA is filed under the name Mus musculus (house mouse). The record is from RNAcentral. Lineage: Eukaryota; Metazoa; Chordata; Mammalia; Rodentia; Muridae.
UACAGCCAAGCCUACAGGGCCAGUGCAG